GGUUAAGUGAAUAAGGGCGCACGGUGGAUGCCUUGGCACUAGGAGCCGAUGAAGGACGGGACUAACACCGAUAUGCUUUGGGGAGCUGUAAGUAAGCUAUGAUCCAGAGAUUUCCGAAUGGGGGAACCCAAUAUCUUUUAUAGGAUAUUACUUUUCAGUGAAUACAUAGCUGAUUAGAGGUAGACGCAGAGAACUGAAACAUCUUAGUACCUGCAGGAAGAGAAAGAAAAUUCGAUUCCCUGAGUAGCGGCGAGCGAAACGGGAAGAGCCCAAACCAACAAGCUUGCUUGUUGGGGUUGUAGGACUCCAAUAUGGUAGUCUGUUAGUAUAGUUGAAGGAUUUGGAAAAUUCCGCUAAAGAGGGUGAAAGCCCCGUAGACGAAAUGCUGACAACACCUAGGAGGAUCCUGAGUACGGCGGAACACGAGAAAUUCCGUCGGAAUCCGCGGGGACCAUCCCGCAAGGCUAAAUACUCCCUAGUGACCGAUAGUGAACCAGUACCGUGAGGGAAAGGUGAAAAGCACCCCGGAAGGGGAGUGAAAUAGAUCCUGAAACCGUGUGCCUACAACAAGUCAAAGCUCGUUAAUGAGUGAUGGCGUGCCUUUUGUAGAAUGAACCGGCGAGUUACGAUUGCAUGCGAGGUUAAGUCGAAGAGACGGAGCCGCAGCGAAAGCGAGUCUGAAUAGGGCGAAUGAGUAUGUAGUCGUAGACCCGAAACCAUGUGAUCUACCCAUGUCCAGGUUGAAGGUGCGGUAAAACGCACUGGAGGACCGAACCCACGUACGUUGAAAAGUGCGGGGAUGAGGUGUGGGUAGCGGAGAAAUUCCAAACGAACUUGGAGAUAGCUGGUUCUCUCCGAAAUAGCUUUAGGGCUAGCCUCGGAAUUGAGAAUGAUGGAGGUAGAGCACUGUUUGGACUAGGGGCCCAUCUCCGUAGUCGAAAGGGAAACAGCCCAGACCACCAGCUAAGGUCCCAAAAUAUAUGUUAAGUGGAAAAGGAUGUGGGGUUGCACAGACAACUAGGAUGUUGGCUUAGAAGCAGCCACCAUUUAAAGAGUGCGUAAUAGCUCACUAGUCGAGUGACCCUGCGCCGAAAAUGUACCGGGGCUAAACAUAUUACCGAAGCUGUGGACUACACCAUUAGGUGUAGUGGUAGGAGAGCGUUCUAAGGGCGUUGAAGGUCGAUCGUGAGGACGGCUGGAGCGCUUAGAAGUGAGAAUGCCGGUAUGAGUAGCGAAAGACAGGUGAGAAUCCUGUCCACCGUAUGACUAAGGUUUCCUGGGGAAGGCUCGUCCGCCCAGGGUUAGUCGGGACCUAAGCCGAGGCCGAUAGGCGUAGGCGAUGGACAACAGGUUGAUAUUCCUGUACCAGUUGUUUUUGUUUGAACAAUGGAGGGACGCAGUAGGCUAAGGAAUGCAUGCGAUUGGAAGUGCAUGUCCAAGCAAUGAGUCUUGAGUAGAGUUAAAUGCUUUACUCUCUAAGGACAAGUUGUGACGGGGAGCGAAAUAAUAGUAGCGAAGUUCCUGAUGUCACACUGCCAAGAAAAGCUUCUAGUGAGAAAACAACUGCCCGUACCGUAAACCGACACAGGUAGUCGAGGAGAGUAUCCUAAGGUGAGCGAGCGAACUCUCGUUAAGGAACUCGGCAAAAUGACCCCGUAACUUCGGGAGAAGGGGUGCUGACUUCGGUCAGCCGCAGUGAAUAGGCCCAAGCGACUGUUUAUCAAAAACACAGGUCUCUGCAAAAUCGUAAGAUGAAGUAUAGGGGCUGACGCCUGCCCGGUGCUGGAAGGUUUUUGGGCACUGUCUCAACGAGAGACUCGGUGAAAUUUUAGUACCUGUGAAGAUGCAGGUUACCCGCGACAGGACGGAAAGACCCCAUGGAGCUUUACUGUAGUUUGAUAUUGAGUGUUUGUACCACAUGUACAGGAUAGGUAGGAGCCGAUGAGACCGGAACGCUAGUUUCGGAGGAGGCGCUGGUGGGAUACUACCCUUGUGUUAUGAACCCUCUAACCCGCACCACUAAUCGUGGUGGGAGACAGUGUCAGAUGGGCAGUUUGACUGGGGCGGUCGCCUCCUAAAAGGUAACGGAGGCGCCCAAAGGUUCCCUCAGAAUGGUUGGAAAUCAUUCGAAGAGUGUAAAGGCAGAAGGGAGCUUGACUGCGAGACCUACAAGUCGAGCAGGGACGAAAGUCGGGCUUAGUGAUCCGGUGGUUCCGCAUGGAAGGGCCAUCGCUCAACGGAUAAAAGCUACCCUGGGGAUAACAGGCUUAU
This 2271-nucleotide ribosomal RNA is filed under the name Clostridium sp. RNAcentral's name for it is "partial 23S ribosomal RNA". It matches the Rfam family "Bacterial large subunit ribosomal RNA", at positions 1 to 2486 of the family's 2925-position model. The record is from RNAcentral. Lineage: Bacteria; Bacillati; Bacillota; Clostridia; Eubacteriales; Clostridiaceae.